This 253-nucleotide ribosomal RNA is filed under the name uncultured bacterium. RNAcentral describes it as "partial 16S ribosomal RNA". It matches the Rfam family "Bacterial small subunit ribosomal RNA", at positions 524 to 776 of the family's 1533-position model. The record is from RNAcentral.
UACGAAGGGGGCUAGCGUUGUUCGGAAUUACUGGGCGUAAAGCGCACGUAGGCGGACAUUUAAGUCAGGGGUGAAAUCCCAGAGCUCAACUCUGGAACUGCCUUUGAUACUGGGUGUCUUGAGUAUGGAAGAGGUGAGUGGAAUUCCGAGUGUAGCGGUGAAAUGCGUAGAUAUCUGGAGGAACACCGGUGGCGAAGGCGGCGUCCUGGACCAACACUGACACUGAGGAGCGAAAGCCAGGGGAGCAAACGGG